Podarcis lilfordi (Lilford's wall lizard) is the source of this 10001-nucleotide non-coding RNA. The record is from the annotation of a GenBank genome assembly. Lineage: Eukaryota; Metazoa; Chordata; Lepidosauria; Squamata; Lacertidae.
UGGUCAAUUAGCAGGCAAGCUACAAUUUGCAGCCCUGGCCCACAAAGUCCCUAGGCCUCUUGUGCUGACCAGGUGCCCCAGUGCAUCGUCCAAUUGCCAGAGUGUGACAGAAAGACAUUGUAUGGCCACAACACUGCCAGACCAUUGAAGGUAAGCAGACUUAUCUAUUUAUUCAAACCAUCUUUCUGCUUCAUCACUGAAAUGUCCAAACAACACUGGUUAAUGCCUUUUGAAAAACCAAAUAAACAAAUAAAACAGCAGAUGACACACUUUUUAGAAGUCAGGAGAUAAAUAACAGAUUAACUAAUCAUACCAAAGGACUGCUGAAGUUAGGCAGUCUUCACUGAGCAUAAAUGCUAUCAACGAGUGUGCUAGGGGGAUAGGAAACGGAAUUUCAUAGCCUGAGUACCAAAACAGAGAAAGCCUUCUUUUACCUAUCCUCAGUUAACAGAAUGACUUAAAUGAAACAGAUUUAAUCCAGUAAGAAAAUAAAUUGAUAUACUUUACUGGGGUAAACUGAACAAAAACAGUAUAUAAAUUGAGGAGAAUAUCAUUUACAGGUCUAGUUGAAAGUGAUGAGAUAUAAUAUUCAACCACAAAGCUGAUAAGCCUCCUUCAGAAGUAUUUAUCCCUCCAACUCCUCCAACUGUCAAAUCUCAACAGUCUUUCUAUAACAUGGACAGUUUACUCCCGAAUGACUGUAACAUCUAGCUAAGCAAAGUCUGGUGUUAGCCAGACCAAUAACCACACUAACCCUUAAUGAUCCCUGAUGUUGUUCAACUGCAUUUCUGCCAGUAGUGAGACAUGGAGCCAGGCCACUCCUGGCAACCUAAGUAGGUGAACACAGAAUCAUGCAGAAGGAACAGUCCUCAACUUAUUUGAAGAUGGUCCUUAAAGAACGCAGGCCUCAAGUCAUUUGGACAUUUAAAGGUUAUAACCAACACCUUGAACUUGUCUGAGAAGAAGAACAGAAGCCAAUGAAGUUGGUACAAUUAAAACAAAAAACAGCCAGUACUCUAGCUUCUGCCAUAGCUCAGAAAGUCCCUGGUUCAAUCCUCGACAUCUCCAGGUGGGGCUAGGAGUGUCUCCUGCCUGAGACCCUAGGGAGCUGCUGCCAGUUCAGUGUAGGCAAUACUGAACCAGAUGGACCAAUGGUCUGAUUCAGUAUAAUACAUUUUCCGAUAUUCCUGUGAGGUUUCCAAACCCCUUUGAAAGACAGCUCCACACAUUACAGUAAUCAAGCCUUGACACAAAGCACGUGUGACUUCACCAGCCUAAAGUGAGCUACAGCACUCGUGGCUUGCAGGGUCCAAAAGCACACCCAGACUGCAAGCCUGAGCUGCAAUGGAAAAAAGGGAGGCACUCUGAGACCAUAUGCGAUUAACACAGAGCCAAGAUGCCACAUGGGGAGAGGUAAAACAUUAGCCACUUUUAUUUCCCUGCUUGCAAACUCUGACCUCCCUGCACAGCAUCACCUACUAGCUCUUAUGCUUAUACUGCUAACCCCACAGGAAUUGCCCACAAAGUGCUCGCACAAUCGAAGUAAAUAAAGUUACCAGCUCCCUUUGGGGAAUGGAGGUGGGAAAUAAGGAAUGUCCCCUGCCUCCCAAAAAAAACUAGUUCCAAAAGUUCUGUUCCUUGGUUAAACUCAGCCUGAGCAAGAUAAAUACAGUGAUGGAUAACUAGCCAUGUCUGUGUUAUUCAAUGCUUACACAUGGUCUGAAACGUGAGCUGGCCAAGGGAAGACCCUUCCCCUGCAAAGUGGCGCAGGUAGGUAAUUUUAGACUCAUAAUUUAUGGUCUUGUGUGUACUCCUGCAUUUGGGGGGCUGAGUGGGACCCUGGACCUCUGCCUCAGUGGCACCACCACCCCUGUAGGCUUUCCAGUGCUGCCACUUUCAAUGAGGUGGUGAGAUACUGAUUUUGGGGCAGAGUCUGCCAUGAGGGAAGGGCCAUAGCUCACUGGGAGGGCAUCUGCCUUGCAUGCGGAAGGUCCCAAGUUCAGUCCCCACCACCUCCAGGUAGGGCCUGAAACCCUGGAGAGGUACUGCCUGCUGAGCAGGAUAGACUAGUAGGUCUGAUUUAGAAUAAGGCAGAUUCCUGUGUUCCAACACUGCUGCUUGUUUGUUUUGAAAAGCACUUUGAGGGCCCUAUGGGACUGAACAGUAGCCCAUACAUUUGGUAUGUGUUCUUAUCAUACUGAGGAGUAUAAUGGAGGCUUAUUUUACCAUUUCCACCCUCCUUUCAGUGGGCAGUUGUGUCUUAUGCAUAGACACUUCCUAGGAAAACCCAGAAAUUAUACCCUAUAACCUUAACUCUGUCCCUGUCUUUUAUGCAACCAGUCCAAACAGCACUCCCUUUGAAAAACUGUUGACUCCCAGUGUGAUAUCUGAUCACACAAAAACUUGUUAUGCUGGGGAAGGGUUGCAAGGAAAAAGGGGGUAAUUAAAAUGUCAGAAUGGAGGUUGUCCAAUCAGAUACGUGGCAUGAGCUGGUAGUUGCAGCGAUAAUAAUCUAGGCUUAAAAACAGCAACUCGUAUAUUCACCUUUGGCAAAUAUGAAUCACCUCUAAGUCAGAGAAGCAUGGCAAGAUAUUUGUCCAUAAAUGGGCCACAGUUGUGAGUGAGUGGGCAAAGUGGGGAAGAAUUGCUUAGGGUCUAGUAACUUGUGCAGUCCUAUUUACAAGACUGUAUUUAUUUAAUUAAUUUAUAGAAGUAUUUUUAUACUACCUUCUUACAUCAGGGUGGUGCACAGCAAGGCAGAAACAUUUAAAAGCUAUACAAAGCAACCAAUAAAAUGACUGGCUAUUCAAUAAAAAAUUAAACAACUGCAUAGGUUGUUUUCAAGAGAUGCCUGAAAGUCAAAACGAAGAUGCCUGCCGAAUCACUGCUGGAAGAGUGUUCCACAGCAGGGGACUGAUAACACUAAAUGCCUGACUUAUAGUUGAUGCCAGUCAGGCCUCUGUAACCUGGGGGACAAGUAACAGUGCUUCUCUGGGUAAUCUCAGUGACUGGACAGGUGGUUCAAAUCUCACCCCUCCUCCCUAAGCUCACUCACUCACCAGCACCCACAAAAGAUCUCAGCAGUGGCCUCCUUAUUAAAGCGAUUGCAAUGGAGGUGUGGAAGAGGACACGUAUGGUUUAGGUGACUGAAGAUGUGUUGGGCUGAGUCAGGUGUACCUAAAAGUGCCAACACCUGCAAUUGUUUUUACCAUAGAGCUUUCGGCAUAUUAAUUUUCAUUAUUGACCUGAUGAUAAUGGAAGCCGCAGCAUUGCCACACACCCUGACCAGCCCAAGUCAAGCUGGCCCAGCUGCAACACAAGAUGGGGAGGGCUAUGGGGUGACCGCUGCUAUUCUGUGGAUGACCAGUAGUGCAACUGAGCAGUUUUAGAUUAUGGACUUUAGGUUUUAAAAGAUGGUAAUGUAUAUUAUUGUAGUUACUUUUUUUUUUUUUACUAUUCUGCUGGGUGCUGCCCAGAGUGGCUGGGGAAACCCAGCCAGAUGGGUGGGGUGGUAUUAUUAUUAUUAUUAUUAUUAUUAUUAUUAUUAUACUUUAAAAAAGAAGCCCACACUCCUACAUUUAUUAACCCUCCUGCUCAUUCUGCCAAGUAGGGUUUGGGCCUCUGCCCCAACCCAAAACCAAAUAGAAACAGUAUUUUGCAGUUUGUUAUGUUAGAACUGCAAGUUUGCAUUCAGAAAUGCAUUAAGUAAAGCAGUAACAGCUGUGAACCUAUACAACCUAUCCACAGAAGAGGCUGCCUGCCACAUCCCUUCAUGAGUCAUAGUUCUGACCCUGCUACCUCUGAAUCACCCUUGGGGGUUUUUUCGGGGGGGGGGUGCUGUAAUUUUGCCAUGCCUCUGUCACAGGUGCAGCUGGACUGAUCAGUCACUCCUGACGUUUGAAAGAGUAAGAAUGACCAGCCACCCCACAGCCAUUAGGAGUCUGUCCACUGCCUCUCUCAAUGAGUCACUGCUCUGACUUUGUCUCCUUCCAAUCUGGAAUUAUGCUCAGAGCAAGCCCAAGAAUCACAAGAUGGGCAAUGGCAUAGGAAUAUGUUGUAUCAGAUGUUAACAGGAAGGAGAAGCAGCCAGACCAGCCAGCUUAGCUCCUCUCGUGGCCCAUGUCUUUCUUCUAUCUCUCUCCCCCACCCCCUCCUGCAAUUCCUUCUGUUGACAGAGACGCCCCCCUUCAAGCGACACUGUGCCUGUAGCUGUUCUUCCUCAUCAUGGAGACAUACCUCCUCUCACUGGGUCAGAUUGAUUGUCCACCUAUCUAUACAUUGAUGGCUGGUACCUGUUGGACUGGUAGGGCAGUAGCCAGAAGACCCAAGAGUUAGAGGCCAAUGGCAGGCAGAGCAAACAAAUUCCAGCUUCACCCACCCCACCCCUGCUGAGUUCUACAAGGAAAACAAGCUGAUAGUCAAGGACUGGAUAUAAGUAAGAAAGUGGGCAGGUGGGGGCUGAACAAGGAUGAUGGGACACUGCGUCCAGAUCUUGCCUUCUCUGACCAGCAGCUGCUCUCCAGGUUCUCUCUCAGAAAAAGGUCUCACAUCGCCUCAGGACUGACCCUUUUAACUGGAGACGCUGGGGACUGAGCUGUGAACCUUUUCCAUGCAGAUUACGGGCUUUGCUACAAAUCUGUGGCUGAGUUUUCAUGUUCUCCUGAUUUCUUUAUCAGACCAGAGGUCUGGAGAUCUCAAAAACUUGCUCACAAGUUUAUGACAUUUUGAUUGGUUCCAAUAAGCGCAUUACAACUUUUUUGGGGGGAUUCAAAAGGGCCAACACAGCUACCACCAUUUUUAAAUGCACAAAACAGAAACCUAUUCAGAAAUUUUGGGGUGAAGCCACGCUGAAAGCAGGUGCCUCUUACUCUUUCACACUCUUGAGACCUCAUCUGUACUAUACAUUUAAAGUAGCAUCAUACCACUUUAAAGAGUCAUGAUUUCCCCCAAAGAAUCCUGGGAAGUGUAGUUUGUUAGGGGUGCUGAGCAUUGUCAGUCCCUUCACAGAGCUAUAGUUCCUGGAGUGGUUUAACAGUCAAUCCCUCUUCCCGGGGUACUCUGGGAAUUGUAGUUCUGUGAGGGGAAUAGGUCUUCCCUAACAACUCUCAGGAUUCUUUGGGGAUAGCCGUUUAAAGUGAAAUGAUGCUGCUUUAAAUGUAUAGUGCAGAUGGGGCCUAAUUUUUCCCCUCAGUGAGAAGAAGCAAAGAAGACACGGAAAUAAAUGACUUGGCAUAUAUUGAAUGAAAUCAGAUUGUCUGAGGGGAGAAAAAAGGCAUGUGUUGGAGCUGCUAACAAAUAUUGCGGCAGAAAAAACCUGAGAUUAAUUUGGACUAUUUUGUUCAGAAGAAAUAUCCAAAUAAUUUCAAGAAUGCUAAUGAUUUGGGGGAGAGGGCUAUGCCCAAAUAUAACUUUCUACCAAACUUUGCCUAACAUAAAGCUUCAAGACAUUUUUUUAUUUUCUGGCUCAGGUGAAACAUCCGGGGGAAAGCAAGAAGUGUAUCUAUAAAACUAGGGGAAAUUCUCACGAGGGCUCCAUGCAUCUCUAGUAAUUACAAGUGUAUCCUCAGUGAUAUUUUGUCAUCUGUGAAAUGGAACUAAAAUGAUAUUCCCACACCAAAGCAUCCGCCUUAAGACUGGUUUGUGAAUUACUUUGAAAUCUCCACCUGAAAGAUGCUACCUGCUCAUUAUACUUUAUCCACACAAAAAAGUGGUGAGAAAAAGGGGGCAGAUUCUGAUCUCAACGGUGUAAAAAUCCAGAGAGACUUCACCUCAGUAACCAUACAAGUAAUUAAAUGCAUUUUAAUUACAAGCCUUGCGGCUUUACUUACCAACAGUGCAAACAAGGUUGAUUGCUGCUGUAUUAAAUACAAGGAUUAAUCAUACAGUGGAGCUCAGCUGUGUUGCCUGAGCCUUACACAGGAGCCAGAACCUGGUCUGGAAAAGGAAGCAAAAAGAGAGAGGGAUUAGUCAGCUGUAGUGCAAUUCCCAAUUCCAUAGGCAAUGGCAAAAACUUUCACUGAGGCUAACAGAAGCAGCAGCUGGUCUUGCAUUUAUUUAUUUAUUUAUUUAUUUUCUUGCUUGGAAAUAUUUAAGCAACAUUCCCAAGGCAACAUACAAAAUAAAACGUACAGUGGUACCUCCGGUUAAGUACUUAAUUCGUUCCGGAGGUCCGUUCUUAACCUGAAACUGUUCUUAACCUGAAGCACCACUUUAGCUAAUGGGGCCUCCUGCUGCUGCCGCACCGCCGGAGCACGAUUUCUGUUCUCAUCCUGAAGCAAAGUUCUUAACCCGAGGUACUAUUUCUGGGUUAGCGGAGUCUGUAGCCUGAUGCGUAUGUAACCUGAAGCGUCUGUAACCCAAGGUACCCCUGUACUUUUAAUAUUUCACAAAGACACGUAAGCCUGGUCAGUUCCAGUGUCCUGAUCACAGGAACAUUGAGCCAUUUUAUGUGUGUGAUGGUGACCAGGAUUGUGUUGACGGAGCAGACAAACAUGACUGCAGUUAAGUAUCAACCCACCUCUUCCUUAAGGUAAAGGGUAAAGGGACCCCUGACCAUUAGGUCCAGUCGCGUGGCCAGCAUGACUAAGCCGCUUCUGGUGAACCAGAACAAUCCGGGCGAACCAAGACAAUUCUCCUUACAUGGGUUCAAAUUAAGGAUGCUUGAGGGUUUUAUUUGGUCUGCAUUUUUUUUUUUAUAAUAAUUUUUAUUAAGUUUUCAAUUUUACACUUCAAAAUAAACAUUUUGCAAACUUUGAAAUAUUCGAUGACUUCCCUUUUUCUCCUUCCAUGGUUCAUUUUACAGAUCAUAAAUUCCUGCAUAUUUUACUAUAACCAUCCAAAUCAGUUUUCCACUUUUACUUCCAUCAGAAAUUAUUUACUCUGUUGAAUUUAUCUUAGUGGGAUGCAGUUCACCAAACAGAACAUGCAUACAAAAAAAAUGUGGGGAAAGUGUGCACGGAAAUGCAUGUUAAAGUGAAAAUAAUAUACAAAAAUGCAUUAAAUUAGGGGAAAUUGCUUGCAAUAAUACAUUUAUUAGGCAAAAUUGUGUAGAAAAUGCAUAUAUUAAGAGAAAUAUGCAUGAAAAUGCACUGAGAUUUCAUGCAAUUUGUUUAAGGCAAACUGAAAUGAGAUGAACUGGACUUAAGAUGGGGAAAAUGAGGGAAGCCAAAAUUGAUAGAUUCAGUCGUCCUUAAUCAGGACUAGUUCUUGCAUUGCUUGAGUGUCACAACUGUAGGCCAUGCCACUCUGGCAAUACUUGAAAUGUCGUGGUUUCUUCCUAUGGCAGCACAACCAGUUGCUAGGAGCCAAAAGCAGUGGCCUGGAAAGCAACCACAUCAUACAUCCCCUGUGGUUUCCUGAUUUACAGGUACAGCAAGGAAUACAUGACCACACAGAAGUGCCAAACCUGACAUAAAGUCAACUCAAGAGCUGCCUUCUGUUUCACAGAGUUAACUAUGAGCUCGUUAGAGGAAGGUUGGCCUGAAAAUGUAAAAAUGCAUAGAAAGCCACACAAGAGCAAGCUCUGAUUCUUUGAGGUGAUGAUAGAAGUGUAGCAAACAACAACAACAACAACUGUUAGAAGUGCAGUCCAGGGAUCACCCAGUUUGUGAUUUAAGGGUUAAUUCUGUUAUCAGUAAGUCAGCUAAGAGGGAGGGGGAUGUUGCUUAGCAACCAGGCAGCACCGCAUCACUAUUGCUGAGAUGCCACGUUCUCUGAUUAGUUGUGUCCUUCUGAGGAAGUUUCUCAUCUGUUUGGUUGUACACGUCCAGCCUACAAUGCCUGAACAAAGACAAAAACAUCUCUGUUCCUUUCUCCUCAACUUAUACACUGUUUUUGUUCAAUUAUACAAGGGCAGCAACACUGAGACUAAGGAGGAGGACGCUGAGAAGCUGCACCAGCCAUUGGGUUGGAUGUUAAUAAGAAGACAGGCAGGUGGAGACUGGCUGCAGGCAGAAUGAGGUUGGUUGGCAACCCAGCUUUUCUUAAAAAAACAACAACAACUUGCUUUAGCAUUUGUAGAACCUGAGAUACGAGGCAAAUGUACUGACACUAUUCUUCUUCUCAUUUUUGUGAAAAGUGAGGCUGUUCCCCACUUUCAGUGUUUUACUUCAACUCCACCAGAAAAAAAAUCCUGCGGAUCCCCAUGGUGGGUGGUGCAGUGUCCCACUCAUCCUAAAGGACCAGCCUCCACUGCUUUGGGAUGUUUGGAAUAGUUUGUCACAUGCGCCAACAUUUCAGUGGGUGGCCCCUAGUACGACUUCCCUGCUUCCAUUUGCUCACCUAAGCACAACCUGCCCAUUUGGUUUCCUGCAGCCCAGAUGAUUCAAGCGUGCCUACUUUCACCAACAGCUGCUUGCUGAAGGCCCAUUCAUAUUUCAACAACUGGAUCAAGGAGUUGCUUUCUCAAGAUCUCUACCCAGUAAAUCUGGGAGAUUACUUUGGAGACUGUAAUCAAAGUACACGCAUCGGGCUUUGAAAAAUAAUAAUACCGAGGUCUUGCACAACACCUCUAUCACUCCUUUGCAAGCCUUAGUCAGGUGGUAAAUAUCAUUCUUGAGCAAGACCUCAGUAUUAGAAUAAUAAUUAAAAACCACAUGGAAAUGCAGGCCCCCUCCCAAAGGCAUCCAUCCAAAAGCAGAAGCCUCCAUUUUGCAUAUUGUGAGCAAUUUUAACCAAGGCUUGGUUAUUUGUUCUUGCACACUUUCUGUUUUUGUUUUUGUUUUGAAGGAGAGACAGAAGCGAUGGAGGGCACGCAAAAGAUACUGGAUACAUUCCAUCAAGCUCCACCCACUGGCUCAGUUGACAUAAGGCAGAAUAGCAAUGAAUAUUCAUAACUGGGGAAAAACAGGUAUAUGUGGAAGCCCAAAUGCACACACGGCGGGGGGGGGGGAUCAGAUCUGAACGACCCAUUUGCAGUAUAAGGCCCACACCAGGAAGCACACCUUUGCUCCAUUUCUCUGUAUCAACCAUAUUAGUUUAUCUCCCCUCCUUUGGCCUUAUACCUUAUUGUAUGACACUUGUCUUCCUUGCUAACUGUUAACAGCAUUUGUUAAAAACGUAUAUAAAUAAUAUAUGCCUUGUAUUUACAAAGAAAAAUACUAGCACCCCACUGUACAACUUGUAUGUUGAUGUUUUGUUGGACGGCUCUGGCAGGGUUCCUCUUAUGUUCUUAGGGAUCAGAUGUAGUCAAUAUGGUGCCAUCCGGAAGUUGUAGGACUCCAACUCCCAUCAGCCCCAGCCAGCGUGGCCAAGGGUCAGGGAUUAUGGAAGCUGUAGUACUCCAAAAUCUGAAGGGCACUACACUGGCCAGCCCUUUUAAAGAUGUUUUGAUAGAGAGCAUUACACCACUUACUGGAUGAGAAGUCUGCCAACGACUAUGAACUAUGAUGGAAACCCCAUGUUUAGAGGCAGUAUAGCUUCUGAGUAUCAGAUGGAAGAAAGCCUGUGCUUGUGAAGUACAGAUGCAUGUAUUUCCUCCAAUUCCUUGUUAAUAAUGCAUGACACACAUUCCAACUUACUUAACAUGCAAAAACUCUUAUCUGCCACCAACACCCUCUCAGUAAUCUGCAAGCCCAUCCAUGAGAUACUAUUAAGAAGAGGGCUAUUUUCUUGUACUGCUUGAGGGCUUCCUGGUGGCAUGUGACUGACUACUGUGGGAAAGCUUGACUAAACAGACUUUCAACAAAGCUUUUCUUAUGUUCUUUGUUAUGCGGUAAGCUUGGAUCCUAGAACAAUAGGCGAGUAGGAUCCUAGAAUGCAGCAACUGAUUGGCUUGCAGGAAAAGACCAGUCAGGCUCCAGGAGGAAGUUAAUCAGCCUGUUAGGCUGGUAGGAUCCUAGAAUGCAACAACUGAUUGGCCUGCAGGAAAAGACCAAUCAGGCUCCAGGAGGGAAGCAGAAUCAGCCAAUCAGACGGGACUCAUUGUGUAAAUAUGUAUAUAAAAGCUUGAGGUUUGGGGGGUAAUUCAAUCACUGUUUUACAAGCUGGAAUAAAGAGCAUGA